Molecule: long non-coding RNA, 903 nt
Filed under: Mus spicilegus (steppe mouse)
Lineage: Eukaryota; Metazoa; Chordata; Mammalia; Rodentia; Muridae
Description: lncRNA (ENSMSIG00000012257.1)
Source: RNAcentral
CCUCGGCCAGGAUUGGUGGAGACCUGGACCCGAAUUCUUCUGGGUUGCUGGAAAGGGGCUCUGAGCUGGUGGCUGGCCAGGGAGCCACAUUGUCCAAACUCUUUCGGGGUCGGGGUUGAGGAAGUAUUUAAAUUUCUCUGCUCAGUCCCGAGGACUCCAGUCUUCUCUCCACUCGCCUAUAAGGUUUCUUCCCUUCAAAGUCGGUUUCACCUGUUGCCACGAGGCUUUCCUCAGGCUGUAUAUUAAACCCCUCGCAAGUGUGUGCCUUCAGCUCUGCAAUUAUCAGCUCCAGCACAACAUCUCUGAACUGCCUGACAUCCCAGCCCCAGACAGACUGAUUGUAAACCCCAAGGUUUUACCCACUGAGGAAGUCUGGGUCUGCCUGCUUUCCUCCAUGGGUAGCAUUCGUCAACUACCGGGAGUGGUUUUCUGAAGGCUGCAGAUAAACAAAGCCCUGUUUAGAGGAUUGGGCCGGGCCUGAGAAAGCUGGGCAAGGUAGGAACUGCUCAGGCUGGGAGAGCAGGAGAACAGGUUCUAGGGCAUUGUGGGUCUGGGGUUGGACGGAGCCAGCUAGCUCUGCAUGAUCUGGAGGAACAGGAGGAUGGUUUGUGCUCAGCUUGAGAAAAUCUACACACAAGCAUAACAUCGUUGUUUACUAGCGAUUGGGCUAGUGUCCUGGGUUCCACUAGGGUACUUCCAUGUGGCAUGUAAUGGAAUUCAAACAAUUCACUCCAUCCCCUCCGCAUUCCCCUCCCUCCCACACUCUUGCACUUUCUCCCCCCUAGACUUCAAAAUAUAAAAGAAAACACGAAAUUCUUGUCUUUCUUUUUUUUUUUGAGGGUGCCUUAUUUUGCCUAACAUAAUUUCCAUUUCUAUCCAUUGAAACUGAGUAAUUUCAUGGAG